UCCGUAGGUGGAUAAUUAAGUCAGAGGUGAAAUCCUGCAGCUCAACUGUAGAAUUGCCUUUGAUGCUGGUUAUCUUGAGUCAUUAUGAAGUGGUUAGAAUGUGUAGUGUAGCGGUGAAAUGCAUAGAUAUUACACAGAAUACCGAUUGCGAAGGCAGAUCACUAAUAAUGUACUGACACUGAGGGACGAAAGCGUGGGGAGCGAACAGGAUUAGAUACCCUGGUAGUCC
Molecule: ribosomal RNA, 229 nt
Filed under: uncultured bacterium
Lineage: Bacteria
Description: partial 16S ribosomal RNA
Rfam family: Bacterial small subunit ribosomal RNA
Source: RNAcentral